Molecule: long non-coding RNA, 94 nt
Organism: Cucurbita moschata (crookneck pumpkin)
Lineage: Eukaryota; Viridiplantae; Streptophyta; Magnoliopsida; Cucurbitales; Cucurbitaceae
Exons: 3
Source: RefSeq, a predicted model, not a curated record
UGAGUCCCACGUUGACUAAUUUAGAGAAUGGUCAUGAGUUUACAAGUAAAGGAAUACAUCAACAUUGGUAGGAGGGUUUUGGGGAAGCCCGAAA